This 253-nucleotide ribosomal RNA is filed under the name uncultured bacterium. RNAcentral describes it as "partial 16S ribosomal RNA". It matches the Rfam family "Bacterial small subunit ribosomal RNA", at positions 524 to 776 of the family's 1533-position model. The record is from RNAcentral.
UACGUAGGCAGCAAGCGUUGUUCGGAAUCACUGGGCGUAAAGGGUGCGUAGGCGGGGCUUUAAGUCAGGGGUGAAAUCCUGGAGCUCAACUCCAGAACUGCCUUUGAUACUGAAGAUCUUGAGUUCGGGAGAGGUGAGUGGAACUGCGAGUGUAGAGGUGAAAUUCGUAGAUAUUCGCAAGAACACCAGUGGCGAAGGCGGCUCACUGGCCCGAUACUGACGCUGAGGCACGAAAGCGUGGGGAGCAAACAGG